Molecule: RNA transcript, 3271 nt
Organism: Callorhinus ursinus (northern fur seal)
Lineage: Eukaryota; Metazoa; Chordata; Mammalia; Carnivora; Otariidae
Gene: IL18RAP
Gene name: interleukin 18 receptor accessory protein
Source: RefSeq, a predicted model, not a curated record
GGUUCUAAUUUCUUCACAUCUCAUUUCUUGACUUCCAGAAAUGAAGAUGAUUCUCAGGGAGGAGCUCUGAAACACAACAUACCACAGCCUGUCAACAGAGCAAGUUCACUGAAGUGAUGACAGGACCCAGGGAGAACGAUGCUUUAUUUGAGCUGGAUAUUUCUUUGGCUUGUCACAGGAGAGAGAAUUAAAGGAAUGACUAUUUCAGAUUGCUUCACCAAGAAACUGCUUUGGGAAUAUUCUUCAACGAAUGAGCAGUUUGUCUUAUUUUGUGGCUUAACAGAGUCGUGCCACAGAAGUCAACUCUCACCAGCCCAAGGCUCUGAAAACUUGCCCUACAGUGGUCAUAAGGACUUACCUGAUGUCCAGUGGUACUUACAACCUCAAAAUGGAGAUCCAUUACGGGAAAUAACUAACAACUCUGCUCACAUCAUCCAGAAGAGCACCCUACACUUUUUGACGACAGGAAUACAUAACGCUGGGUCAUAUAUCUGUAGACCCAGGAUUAGGAGCCCUCGGGAUGAGGCCUGUUGUGUCAAGACCAUCUUAGAAGUUAAGCCUAAGACAAAUCUAUCCUGUAUACCAAAUAACUCUGUAUCACAUGAGCAAUACCUUCUUCUUGGUAGCACUGACUAUAUUCAUUGCCCUAGCUUCAACUGCCAAAGUGAUGCACAGAGUCCAAAUGUGACCUGGUACCAGAAUGGAAAGCUACUCCUUAAAGAAAAGAGCAACUCAAUCCUAGUGGAUGAAGUUUACGAAGAACAGGACGGCAUGUAUGUAUGUGAUUACACUGAGUCGGAUAACACAAGUGAGUGGACAGUCAGAGCUGUUGUUCAAGUGACAACCAUUGUGAAAGAUACUAAUCACAAACCAGAUAUUCUGGAUCCCAUCGAGGACACACUGGAAGUAGAACUUGGAAAGCCUUUAACUCUAAACUGCACAGCACGAUUUGGCUACCAAAAGAACUUUAUGCCUGUAAUAAAAUGGUACAUUAAAGAUUCUGACCAGGAGUGGGAAUUCCCAACAUCUGAAGAGAUCAGUGUUAAAUCCACCAAAAAGGAUAAAGUCAUUGCCCGCGUUAUCCACUUGAAAGAAGUUACUCAGAGGGAGCUUCACAGGAAGCUUAUUUGCUUUGCCCAGAACUCCAUCGGGAACACUACCCAGUCCAUUCAACUGAAAGAGAAAAAAGGAGUGGUGUUCAUAUACCUCCUACUUGGCACCGUCAUGACCCUGACCGGCGUGCUGAUGGCAGCUGUUCUGCUCUACAUGUACUGGAUUGAAAUAGUCCUGCUGUACCGAACCUACUGGAGCAAGGAUGAGACGCUCGGGGAUAAAAAGGUAUUUGAUGCUUUCGUAUCCUAUGCGAAAUGGAGCUCUUUUGAGAGUGAGGCCGCUUUAUCUCUGAGUGAGGAGUACCUGGCUCUGAAUCUGUUCCCUGAAGUUUUGGAAAACAAAUAUGGAUACAACCUGUGUUUGCUCGAAAGAGAUGUGGCCCCCGGAGGAGUGUAUGCCGAAGACAUUGUGAACGUGAUUAAGAAAAGUCGAAGAGGAAUAUUUAUCCUGAGCCCCAACUAUGUCAAUGGACCCAGUAUCUUUGAACUACAAGCCGCAGUGAAUCUGGCCUUGGAUGAUCAAACACUGAAACUAAUUUUAAUUAAGUUCUGCUCCUUCCAAGAACCAGGGUCUCUACCUCAUCUUGUGAAAAGAGCUCUCCGGGUUUUGCCCACAGUCACUUGGAGAAACUUAAAAUCAGUCCCUCCCAAUUCCAGGUUCUGGACUCAGAUGCGCUACCAUAUGCCAGUGAAAACCUCUAAAGAAUUGCAGUGGAACCAUCUCCGAAGUAUCCGCGAAUUGUUUCACUGGAAACGACUCAGUAAAACAGAAACCUCUGGGAGGAGCUCCCAGCCUAGGGGACGGUGAAGCGGACCCUGAACCUCCUCCUCCCCGCCCCUGGACUCUAAAAUCUUCACACUCUGCCAUCCCUGUCUGAAUGGAAUGAUUCGUCUGAGCAAUAAAGACAGGCAACUUCUGGACUCAUUCAAAUGUAAUGUGUCCCAUUCACUGGUCCGAAUGCCAUCCACGUUCAGAAUGGUGAAAAGGCAUCCUCAUCUGGCCACCACUUGGAGCCUGUAUGAAAUGAUCUUGAGUGGUUUUUCCACAGAGGCUCCCACAUCAGAAAAACCACUGUGGCUCUGGCACCAAGCGACAUCCUUGCUGGGAAUUUCAGUGAUGAAGUUAAAGAUGAGUUAAAAGAUUACAGUUCCAGGUAAGAUGGAGUAAAUACACACCACCCUAUCUUUCCCGCUCAUUGCAACUAUAACAUCUGAAUAAAAUGCUUAGAAAAUCAGUUUGAGGAUUUUGAAAUGUAAACCAAAGCAGAAUGACUGGAGAGAACAAGAAUUCAAAGUUUCAUGAUUUUACUUUCCUCCAAUAUCCCUUGGCCUGGACUCAACGCAGUCUGAAACCCAAAAGUGGAUAUUGGUAAUAACAGAGAGUUCAAGAAGAAGCCCUCUCGUUUCACCGUGAAGACCGGGGAAGGAGUUUCCUAACACUCUUAUAUUUUUUCCUUUCUAUGUUCUUUUACUUCCCAGCCUCUAGGCAAUUCUGCAAAAGCAGAGGCGAGAGGGCCCUCAAGAGCCUCCAUCUCUGUGGAAGGAGAAUUGUCCACUUUGAUACAAGAAGUUGUGGUCCCUACAGAGUGUGGCAAACCUCUUUUGAUUGUUUUUUUGGUUUCUCUGUCCUCUUACCAUUUAGGUAUGGAGAUAGAAGCAGUUGGGGAAGUGCACUGUAGGGUAUAUAAACACCAACACUCUAGCCAGAGAACUGCAAAAAAGAGGUUAAGAGGCCUCUAGAACCAGAAAGUACCAUGGGGAUUGCAGACAGAAAGGAUCCCAGGAAAGCAAACCCAUGAAGUUGUUUGCAAACCCCUGGGCUCAUCCCUAAGCUACAUAUGCUUGAAUCUGGCCCAAAAUAGAAUACUAUAAAUUUUGAGAAUUGAACUAUAGGAUAGACCACUUCCAGAGUUCCAGACUGACCACUGAAAGGUGUAUAUAUGGAAUACAUCUAAAAAGAACUAAAAGACAGUGAAACAGAACUGACAUUGAAACCACAAGGUUGGUUAGAAUUUGGGGCUUGAAUCCAACUGGGUCAAGUACUUGCUAAACAAAAAUAGCAUUCUACACAGGAUUUCAAGAAGAUCCAAAGUUGCAUAACAUAAUAUUUAAAAUGUUCAGGACACAAUCCACUGAAAGCAAAAAAUUACAUUUUCUGA